AGGACGAACGCUGGCGGCGUGCUUAACACAUGCAAGUCGAGCGGAAAGGCCCUUCGGGGUACUCGAGCGGCGAACGGGUGAGUAACACGUGGGCAACCUGCCCUUAGCUCUGGGAUAGCUCCGGGAAACCGGAAUUAAUACCGGAUAUGACCUAGGCCGACAUCGGCCGUGGUGGAAAGUUUUUCGGCUAGGGAUGGACUCGCGGCCUAUCAGCUAGUUGGUGGGGUAAUGGCCUACCAAGGCGACGACGGGUAGCCGGCCUGAGAGGGCGACCGGCCACACUGGGACUGAGACACGGCCCAGACUCCUACGGGAGGCAGCAGUGGGGAAUCUUGCGCAAUGGGCGAAAGCCUGACGCAGCGACGCCGCGUGGGGAUGGAAGGCCUUCGGGUUGUAAACCCCUUUCAGCAGGACGAAGCGAAAGUGACGUACUGCAGAAGAAGCGCCGGCUAACUACGUGCCAGCAGCCGC
This 471-nucleotide ribosomal RNA is filed under the name uncultured bacterium. Its description in RNAcentral is "SSU rRNA". It matches the Rfam family "Bacterial small subunit ribosomal RNA", at positions 26 to 518 of the family's 1533-position model. The record is from RNAcentral.